This 253-nucleotide ribosomal RNA is filed under the name uncultured bacterium. Its description in RNAcentral is "partial 16S ribosomal RNA". It matches the Rfam family "Bacterial small subunit ribosomal RNA", at positions 524 to 776 of the family's 1533-position model. The record is from RNAcentral.
UACGUAGGGUGCAGGCGUUAAUCGGAAUUACUGGGCGUAAAGCGCACGCAAGCGGUUUGUUAAGCUAGAUGUGAAAGCCCCGGGCUCAACCUGGGAGGGUCAUUUAGAACUGGCAGACUAAAAUCUUGGAGAAAAGAGUGGAAUUCCAGGUGUAGCGGUGGAAUGCGUAGAGAUCUAAAGGAACAUCAGUGGCGAAGGCGACUCCCUGGCCAAAGACUGACGCUCAUGUGCGAAAGUGUGGGUAGCGAACAGG